CUUGACUUAUCAUGAAUGAAUAGAAUAGAAUAGAAAAUCUUUCAUUUCCAUAAGAGGUGCCCUCACGGGGCAAAGUACAUAUAAGACAAUAGAAAGUUACAAAUACAAUAAAGCAGAACAGCAAAACACUAUACUUAAUUUGAACAGUACAACAUUGCUAACAGUGUCACUGUGAUACAUAAUAAAUGUUUACUCAAGGCAGGUGUUUUAAUAAAGACACGAUAUAGCUUAGUUAGUUGGUACGGUAAUGUUAACAUUAGGUUCAUAUUACAGUUUUUUGGAACACAUAUACUAAUUUCAAAACAAUUUUGGUAUCUAUGCAUGCCGAAUAUCUAUAAACGGAAGGGCAUAAAGUAUAUUUCGACAUCACAUUCAUAAAAUUUAAAACCAAAGAACGAGAAACGUCAAAGUUAUUUUGUCGUCUACCUGUAUGAUAACGUAACUAAUUUGGUUCACCUGGAACUCACCCUAAUAAGUUGUCACGAUAACAAUAUAAAGUCGUGGCUUAAUAACGCGGAAAUCAGACUUAUAUUUUGUCAAUUAUUUCACUUAUGUUGUCUAAAUGCUCCUUUCUGAAACAAUUUUAGACUUGUAGUGCUGGCAGUUUAAUCUUCAUUUUUAUUUAUGCAUGUAUUUUAGGUGAGUUCCAGGUUAACCAAAUUAGAUACGUCAUCAUACAGGUAGCCGAAAAAUAACUUUGUCGUUUUUAGUUCUUAGGUUUUAAAUUUAAAUUAUAUUAAGUGGCAUCUUUACUUCGUGACUGUACAAUGUGAGGUCGAAAUAUUCAUUCUCGUAGGGCUUCUUAAUUUCAGCAUAACCUGUUUUGCUGAAUCAAUCACUUACAGCAAUAUCAAAAUACGGCACCUCUUUAUUAAUGUUUUUCUUGACAGAAUUGAUUUAUAAAAAGGCAUUAAUUGAUUAGAAUUCAUUUUUGUCAGGUCUAAAGAGAAAUAACAAUUAAAAUCUGUAAAAAAAAAAAAACUUCAUUUUCAGGAUGACAAAGUUAUUUUCAAUCUAACCAUAAUGACGAUUUAUAUUUUAAUGUACGCAUGUCAUAAUAAUUGAGAAAUAAGACGAUAACAUUGAGAAUGAAAAUGGGGAAUAUGUCAAAAGAGACAACAACCCGACCAAAGAGCAGACAACAGCCGAAGGCCACCAAUGGGUCUUCAAUGCAGCGAGAAAAUCUCGCACCCGGAGGUGGUCCUCAGCUGGUUCUUAACUAAAAUUGUGUGCUAGUUCAGUGAAAAUGGAUACAUAGAAGAGGAUAAGUAGCUGGAAAAUUUGGUAAACGGACAAAAAGUCACAGGACAAGAAGUCACAAAUAAUUUGUUGACAAUUGUUUGAAUAUGUUAGAGGAAGAUCCUGAAAUAUUUUCAUUUUAUUAGUAAAUAUAUAUAUUUUACAAUUUAGGUAUAUCUUUCUCUAAAUUAGCAUAAACAUCUACUCUCAACAUUCCUAAAUCAGAGUUAAGCCUUACCCCAUUUUUUACUAACCAGUCACGUCCUCAAAUAUCGUUUCUGUUCAUGUCAGAAACAAACGUAAAACAAGUGUGUCAUUUUCUUAUUUUUAAUAGAAAAUUCAAUUAAAAUACUUCCUAAACAAUAAAGUAAGUUUCUAUUUACAGAAUGAAGAUUAACUUUCAUUUAAGAUAAUUUUGGUAAGUUUAAAGUUUUAAAAAUUGUAUAAUGUAGUAAACUACAUUGUGCUCCAGAAUCAACAAGUGCCCUUAGUUUUCUAUUUUUAAUAUUUAAUAUACAACUGUUUGGAUAACCUGCCAAAUUUAUAGUAAAAAUUUCAUUUGUUUCUGGUCUAGUUUUUCUCUCUUUGUUGGAUCCAUAACAAAGAGAGUUUCUUAGUUUCCAUGAAAUCUAUUUUCUUGUUUAUCAAAAGUUCUAUCCCUACAAAAUCUUUUAAUGUGACCUUUUUUUCCACAUUUACAACAUUCUAUAUCUUUAUUAAAAUUUGGAGAUUUAUCGAAAGCAUUGACUUGUUGUCUUGCCCUACAUCUUUAGAUUAAUGGUCUAGUGAAUUGCAGUAGUGUAAUAUUGGCAGUCAAAGUGCCUCAUUGAUACCUCAGCACCGCAGGUGCCUACUAGGCGCCUCAUUUGACCUUAUGAACGGCGACCUCAUACAAUCAAUCUGGUAUGAUGUAAGGAGUCCCAAGAGGUGAAUCUGAUGCAAACUUUGACCCUAAGAAAGGUGACCUCAUACAACCCAUCUGGCAUGAUGUAACAAAAAUCCACAACAAGGUAGCCUCCUUUGACCCUAUGAAAUGUGACCUCAUCUGACAUGAUGUAACAAUGAUAUGAAAUACACCGCGAAGCCCUUUUCAUUAAAUGAAAACACAAACAAAUAAUUUCUGUUGACAAUUCAUUACAUUAUCUUCAAUGAAUAUACAUAUAUAAUAUGAAGAUACAUUAAAAUAAACCCCCAAGGGUGACUGGGGAAUAGAAAUAUGGUCACCAUUGGUCUUCCUCCGACCGGCGGUAAAACCCUCGCUAAAGUGGGGCGUCCGUUUGGCUGUGCGGGAUGUACAAAUUUGCAGCCACGUCCGGUCAGAAUGGGGACGUUAAAUCCGAUGCCUCGUGUAAAGAGAGUGCCACGCUCUUUGCACGUUAAAAACCCUUGCAACAACUCUUGAGGGGUCCGUAGGUGACCUGUUGCAAGGCUAAAUUUCUGUCCCUAUCCAUUAUACCCUCAUUUCCCGUGGCAAUCUAAAUUUCUCCGACCUUAAUCCCGGACGCCCCUCUUACAUAACUUACCUAUUGUAUUUAUUGUUAAUUUGUUCUCGUCCUGAAUAUGCAUGAAAUAUUUGCCACUGGACGUUAAGCAACCAACAAUCAAUCAAUCAAUCAAUCAUUAAAAUAAAUCACUUAAUACAUUGAAAUAAAUUUUAAUCAUAGUAACUUAAUUAAACUUAAAUAGAACUGUAGUUAUCUUAAAAGAGAAUAAUUUGAAAAGAACAAAGUAUUUCUUUAGGAACUAAGAAGAAAGGAAUGUAAUACAUUGAAAUAAAUUUUAAUCAUAGUACCUUAAUUAAACUUAAAUAAAACUGUAGUUAUCUUAAAAAAGAAUAAAGUAUUACAUUAGGAAAGAAUGUCAACAAAAAAUAUAUUCGGAACGAGAACAUAUGUACAAUAUAUAUAUAUCUCAUCACAAUGUGUAUAUGUAUAAAAAAAAAUACCAUUCGUAAAAAGUUUAACAGCACUAAAAAUUUCAUACAAAAAAUAUCUUUCAUUAAAUAAAAAAGGAGUUCCAAAAGUAAUAUAAUAACAACGGGCUGGGGUGUGUAUACAUAAGAAACAGCUUUAAAAAAUGUCUUUCUUAUCACGAACAAUAUGAUUAAAAUAUGGAUUACAUGUGUAGACAUAAACAGUUGAAAGUAAACAACUAAUUAGACAUGUCAAAUCUGGAAAGUUAAUUAGUUCUGAUGAAUACAUUGUAUGGAGGAAGGUGAUAAUUGGAAACAAUCAAUAUAUCAACAUUUAAUAAAAAAAAAAAAGGUUUAACAUAUAUACAUUAUGUCACAAAAAAAGAAGCACCGAAUAAAAUAAUAAGUAUUUCUUAAGAAACAAUAUUUUUAUAUUUAAAGAGAGAGAGGGAAAAAUUUAUAUGUUUAAAAUUAUUGAAAACAAACAUUGUCAUCUGUACUUUAUAAUUAAAACAAGUAAGGAAAAGGAGAUUAUUUAUUUUCAUUGUGUAAUAGCACUAUGUUACAAAAAAAAAAAUAGAAGCAUCAUUAUCAACAUUAAAUGAAAAAGGUUUAACAUAUAUACAUUAUGUUACAAAAAAAAGAAACAUCAAAUAAAAUAAUAAUUAUUUCUUAAGAAUCAUUAUUUAAAGAGAGAAGGGAAAAAUUUAAAUGUUAUAAAUUAUUGAAGAAAAAAAAAUAAUUCAUCUGUACUUUUAUAUUCCCUUAUUUAUUUUCAUCAUGUUAUAGCACUAUGUUACAAAUAAAAAAUAGAAGCAUCAAUAUAAAUAAAAUUAAAAGUGUUGAGAAGAAACAAUAGAGAGGGAAAAAUUUAUAUAUAUAACUAAUUAUGUAAAUUUUUUGAAGGGUUAUAAAUAAUCAGUGAAACAAAAAUGAAAUAUCAUUCACUUUGAUAAAUAAAAAUGGAGAACACACUGGAAGUAAUGAAAGGGUUGUUGCUGAAAAUUAUACAGAUGGAGGUGGAAUUUACCAGACAUAUCACAAAGAUUGAGAAUCAGAUGAGACUCCCACAAACAACGAGUGAUUGACCUAACUGGAGAAGGACACUAUGAUGUGAUGAAAGAAAAAAGGAGAAUUUUAAAAGCAAAGAGUAGACUACCCGUCACCUCACCAGGCAACCCCAUAGAUUUGACAAGGGGUGAAGAGAAUGAAGUGGCAAAGAGAAGACUACCCGUCACCUCUCCAGGCAACCCCUUAGAUUUGACAGGGGGAGCCUGUUUAAAUCAAAAAGAGAGGGACGAGAGGAUAGAGGAAAAGAUGGAAGAAGAUUCACCUAUAUCACCAAUGACUGUGUUAAUGGACUUUUCCAUUUUAUCAAUGGAUGAACAAUAAUGGGGAUAAAAAUAAAAUUUGUAAUUUGAAAUGUUGAUUUAUUUCCGUUGAAAAUAAUACCAUGAGUAUGUGUAUAAGGUAAACAAUUUUCUUCCUAGUGGUUAUACCCAAUAAAAAACAAUUAUUUAAGAAGAUGAGGUAUGAUCACCAAUGAGAUAUUUAAUGAUGUAGAAGUUAGAAACUAUUAUUUAUGUGAAUUUGUGAGGUUGUCUGUUGGUAUACUAUUAAUAAGUAAGUCUGCAAAGUGGUACUUUGGUUCACGGCACAUGAUAAGCUACACGCUUCUGAUAUUAGAUUGUCCAGUGACAAAUAGU
Mytilus californianus (California mussel) is the source of this 4857-nucleotide long non-coding RNA. RefSeq lists it as uncharacterized. Lineage: Eukaryota; Metazoa; Mollusca; Bivalvia; Mytilida; Mytilidae. The record is from RefSeq and is a predicted model, not a curated record. The transcript is spliced from 6 exons.